AUUGAACGCUGGCGGCAGGCCUAACACAUGCAAGUCGAGCGGAUGAAGGGAGCUUGCUCCUGGAUUCAGCGGCGGACGGGUGAGUAAUGCCUAGGAAUCUGCCUGGUAGUGGGGGAUAACGUCCGGAAACGGGCGCUAAUACCGCAUACGUCCUGAGGGAGAAAGUGGGGGAUCUUCGGACCUCACGCUAUCAGAUGAGCCUAGGUCGGAUUAGCUAGUUGGUGGGGUAAAGGCCUACCAAGGCGACGAUCCGUAACUGGUCUGAGAGGAUGAUAAGUCACACUGGAACUGGGACACGGUCCAGACUCCUACGGGAGGCAGCAGUGGGGAAUAUUGGACGAUGGGCGAAAGCCUGAUCCAGCCAUGCCGCGUGUGUGAAGAAGGUCCUCGGAUUGUAAAGCACUUUAAGUUGGGAGGAAGGGCAGUAAGUUAAUACCUUGCUGUUUUGACGUUACCAACAGAAUAAGCACCGGCUAACUUCGUG
This 484-nucleotide ribosomal RNA is filed under the name uncultured bacterium. RNAcentral's name for it is "partial 16S ribosomal RNA". It matches the Rfam family "Bacterial small subunit ribosomal RNA", at positions 30 to 507 of the family's 1533-position model. The record is from RNAcentral.